Molecule: long non-coding RNA, 635 nt
Filed under: Setaria viridis
Lineage: Eukaryota; Viridiplantae; Streptophyta; Magnoliopsida; Poales; Poaceae
Description: long non-coding RNA (SVIR_LNC004517)
Source: RNAcentral
UCAAGGUCUGGUAGUUACUUCAACCCCACAAGGCAGAUUCGUUUAUUGGCCGGGGAUGAGGCCAUCUUUCCUUACCCAUGACUACGAGUCGCACCUUGUCGCUCACAUAGACAACCUGUCGUAUCAAUUAGGCAUCCCGCUCAGUUCAAACUAUGAGGAAAGCACUACAAAAAUUGCAACAUCAAGCUCUGGAAGCUACUACCCAGACAGAGAAAUUUUUGUCAUCGCUCAAAACAAUAAUGUGGGUACUAGCCAACAGAGAACCCCUCGACGGAUAGCAUAGCCCGAUAACAUUUCAGAGGAUGAGUCAUCGGCUAAUGCCCUGCAAGACAAAACUUCCGAGCAAAGAAACCAAAGGAGGGCACGAAAUAUUACUUGGGCCGAACGUUGACAGCUACUAGCCACAAACAUCCCUAUCAUGAACCUUGAAAGAGCAUUCGACGCAGUACAAGCCCAAGAACACAACAUUCCACUCGCGUUAAACGCCUCAAUCAAUCUCAUAUCAACUCUAAUACCCCAAGACAGAGAUAAUGAAUUAACAGCUCAACUCGCGCAUCGAGGCAAUGGACUAAUCGCACAACUCGCAGAACAAGUUACAAACUACUCGAUAAAGAAUCACCAAUCCCAUCUGUUCC